Molecule: small nuclear RNA, 117 nt
Organism: Pyrus x bretschneideri (Chinese white pear)
Lineage: Eukaryota; Viridiplantae; Streptophyta; Magnoliopsida; Rosales; Rosaceae
Product: U5 spliceosomal RNA
Exons: 1
Source: RefSeq, a predicted model, not a curated record
UGCCACGAGGUGAGCGCAGAGCGAACUACUCCUUCACCUUUUACUAAAGAAUACUGUGUGCUAGCCGCAAUUAGUGGCAUGCACCAAUUUUUUUAGGAGUUUCUCUUCAUAGAGGAG